GCCUUCGUGGUGUAGUGGUCAGCACGCUUGACGCGCAACCGAGAGGUCCGUGGUUCGAUUCCCGGCCGAGGCG
Stegodyphus mimosarum is the source of this 73-nucleotide non-coding RNA. Lineage: Eukaryota; Metazoa; Arthropoda; Arachnida; Araneae; Eresidae. The record is from Rfam.